UACGAACGCUGGCGGCGCGCCUAACACAUGCAAGUCGAACGAGCGAAAGAGAGCUUGCUUUCUCGAGCGAGUGGCGAACGGGUGAGUAACGCGUGAGGAACCUGCCUCAAAGAGGGGGACAACAGUUGGAAACGACUGCUAAUACCGCAUAAGCCCACAGGUCGGCAUCGACCAGAGGGAAAAGGAGCAAUCCGCUUUGAGAUGGCCUCGCGUCCGAUUAGCUAGUUGGUGAGGUAACGGCCCACCAAGGCGACGAUCGGUAGCCGGACUGGGAGGAAGGUCCCCCACAUUGGAACUGAGACACGGUCCAA
Molecule: ribosomal RNA, 311 nt
Filed under: uncultured bacterium
Lineage: Bacteria
Description: bacterial SSU rRNA
Rfam family: Bacterial small subunit ribosomal RNA
Source: RNAcentral